GAUGAAGAACGCAGCGAAAUGCGAUAAGUAAUGUGAAUUGCAGAAUUCAGUGAAUCAUCGAAUCUUUGAACGCACAUUGCGCCCGCCAGUAUUCUGGCGGGCAUGCCUGUCUGAGCGUCAUUUCAACCCUCAAGCAACUUCUGCUUGGUGUUGGGGAUCGGCCGUCAAACGCCGCCCCCGAAAUCUAUUGGCGAUCUCGCUGUAGCUUCCUAUGCGUAGUAGUAACAUCUCGCAUCUGGAGAGCGGCGCGGUCAUGCCGUAAAACACACAACUUCUCAGGUUGACCUCAGAUCAGGUAGGAAUACCCGCUGAACUUAAGCAUAUCAAUAAGCGGAGGA
This 338-nucleotide unclassified non-coding RNA is filed under the name soil metagenome. RNAcentral's name for it is "partial contains 5.8S ribosomal RNA, internal transcribed spacer 2, and large subunit ribosomal RNA". The stretch from base 1 to 120 matches the Rfam family "5.8S ribosomal RNA", at positions 35 to 154 of the family's 154-position model. The record is from RNAcentral.